This 311-nucleotide ribosomal RNA is filed under the name Triticum aestivum (bread wheat). RNAcentral describes it as "partial small subunit ribosomal RNA". The record is from RNAcentral. Lineage: Eukaryota; Viridiplantae; Streptophyta; Magnoliopsida; Poales; Poaceae.
GUGUCCGCACGGGAGGGCAUCGACCUCUCGGAAACCACGGGAUCGUGCAGACGUGCGCUCGUCGCCAAGGUGCUCGUCGUAGCUGCCACGCCCUCGACGCGCCUUCGUUCGUCGCCUGCGUGCGGGCCCGGGACGUCUAGAGUGGCUCACGGUGCCCGCCGUAGUGUAGAGCACGACAAGGACGCAGUGACGUUAAGCGCACAACCGGCACUGGCCUCGAAACGGCAACGCCCCCGCCCCACCACGGGCGCUCCACAAGCCCUGUAACAUGCUCAGCUCGUCUCGUCUAGACGACGUGCCUAUCGUUCUUA